RNAcentral lists this ribosomal RNA (440 nucleotides) under uncultured bacterium. RNAcentral describes it as "partial 16S ribosomal RNA". It matches the Rfam family "Bacterial small subunit ribosomal RNA", at positions 338 to 795 of the family's 1533-position model. The record is from RNAcentral.
CCUACGGGAGGCAGCAGUGGGGAAUAUUGCACAAUGGGGGAAACCCUGAUGCAGCGACGCCGCGUGAGUGAAGAAGUAUUUCGGUACGUAAAGCUCUAUCAGCAGGGAAGAAAAUGACGGUACCUGACUAAGAAGCCCCGGCUAACUACGUGCCAGCAGCCGCGGUAAUACGUAGGGGGCAAGCGUUAUCCGGCUUUACUGGGUGUAAAGGGAGCGUAGACGGCAGCGCAAGUCUGGAGUGAAAUCCCAUGGCUUAACCAUGGAACUGCGUUGGAAACUGUGCAGCUAGAGUGCAGGAGAGGUAAGCGGAAUUCCUAGUGUAGCGGUGAAAUGCGUAGAUAUUAGGAGGAACACCAGUGGCGAAGGCGGCUUACUGGACUGUAACUGACGUUGAGGCUCGAAAGCGUGGGGAGCAAACAGGAUUAGAUACCCCUGUAGUC